RNAcentral lists this ribosomal RNA (755 nucleotides) under uncultured Sphingobacteriaceae bacterium. Its description in RNAcentral is "bacterial SSU rRNA". It matches the Rfam family "Bacterial small subunit ribosomal RNA", at positions 39 to 791 of the family's 1533-position model. The record is from RNAcentral. Lineage: Bacteria; Pseudomonadati; Bacteroidota; Sphingobacteriia; Sphingobacteriales; Sphingobacteriaceae.
GCGGCAGGCCUAAUACAUGCAAGUCGAACGGUAGACAGUAGCAAUAUUGUUGAGAGUGGCGCACGGGUGCGUAACGCGUAUGCAACCUACCUCCCUGCGGGGGAUAGCCUGGAGAAAUUCAGAUUAAUACCGCAUAACAUUAUGAUACGGCAUCGUAUUAUAAUUAAAGGAUUUAUUCACAGGGAGAUGGGCAUGCGUGCCAUUAGUUAGAUGGAGAGGUAACGGCUCCCCAUGACUACGAUGGCUAACUGGUCUGAGAGGAUGAUCAGUCACACUGGCACUGAGACACGGGCCAGACUCCUACGGGAGGCAGCAGUAGGGAAUAUUGGUCAAUGGACGCAAGUCUGAACCAGCCAUGCCGCGUGCAGGAAGAAGGUCCUCUGGAUUGUAAACUGCUUUUGUCCGGGAAUAAAUCUAUCUUAAUAGGUAGUUGAAGGUACCGGAAGAAUAAGCACCGGCUAACUCCGUGCCAGCAGCCGCGGUAAUACGGAGGGUGCAAGCGUUGUCCGGAUUUAUUGGGUUUAAAGGGUGCGUAGGCGGCCUUUUAAGUCAGUGGUGAAAGACGGUGGCUCAACCAUCGCAGUGCCAUUGAUACUGAAAGGCUUGAGUACAGUUGAGGUAGUUGGAAUGAGUAGUGUAGCGGUGAAAUGCAUAGAUAUUACUCAGAACACCGAUUGCGAAGGCAGAUUACUAAACUGGAACUGACGCUGAGGCACGAAAGCGUGGGGGAUCAAACAGGAUUAGGAUACCCUGGU